GUGUCAGCCGCCGCGGUAAUACGAAGGGGGCUAGCGUUGCUCGGAAUCACUGGGCGUAAAGCGCACGUAGGCGGAUCUUUAAGUCAGGGGUGAAAUCCUGGAGCUCAACUCCAGAACUGCCUUUGAUACUGGGGAUCUCGAGUCCGGGAGAGGUGAGUGGAACUGCGAGUGUAGAGGUGAAAUUCGUAGAUAUUCGCAAGAACACCAGUGGCGAAGGCGGCUCACUGGCCCGGUACUGACGCUGAGGUGCGAAAGCGUGGGGAGCAAACAGGAUUAGAUACCCCGGUAGUCC
RNAcentral lists this ribosomal RNA (292 nucleotides) under uncultured bacterium. RNAcentral describes it as "partial 16S ribosomal RNA". It matches the Rfam family "Bacterial small subunit ribosomal RNA", at positions 505 to 796 of the family's 1533-position model. The record is from RNAcentral.